CAAUAGCGUAUAUUAAAGUUGUUGCAGUUAAAAAGCUCGUAGUUGGAUUUCUGGUUGAAGCGACCGGUCGGGCGUUGAUUCGUCUGCACUGGAGUCGGUUUUGGCCAUCCUCUAGGAAAGUGCGUCUGGUAUUAAGUUAUCGGGCGUAUGAUCCUGGUCUUUUACUGUGAAAAAAUUAGAGUGUUUAAAGCAGGCCUUCGCCUUGAAUACAUUAGCAUGGAAUAAUAAGAUAGGACUUUGGUCCAUUUUGUUGGUUUGCAGACCGAAGUAAUGAUUAAUAGGGAUAGUUGGGGGUAUUUAUAUUCCGAUGUCAGAGGUGAAAUUCUUAGAUUUUCGGAAGAUAAACUUAUGCGAAAGCAUUUACCAAGGAUGUUUUCAUUAA
Molecule: ribosomal RNA, 382 nt
Filed under: uncultured eukaryote
Lineage: Eukaryota
Description: partial 18S ribosomal RNA
Rfam family: Eukaryotic small subunit ribosomal RNA
Source: RNAcentral